GGGUUGUGAGGUUAAGCGACUAAGCGUACACGGUGGAUGCCCAGGCAGUCAGAGGCGAUGAAGGACGUGCUAAUCUGCGUAAAGCGACGGUAAGGUGAUAUGAACCGCUACAGCCGUCGAUGUCCGAAUGGGGAAACCCGGUGCACUCUGUGCAUCAUUGCAGCAUGAAUACAUAGUGCUGCAAGGCGAACCGGGGGAACUGAAACAUCUAAGUACCCCGAGGAAAAGAAAUCAACCGAGAUUCCCCCAGUAGCGGCGAGCGAACGGGGAGCAGCCCAGAGCCUGAAUCAGUUUGUGUGUUAGUGGAAGCGUCUGGAAAGUCGCAGGGUACAGGGUGAUACUCCCGUACACAAAAACACACAUGCUGUGAGCUCGAUGAGUAAGGCGGGACACGUGGUAUCCUGUCUGAAUAUGGGGGGACCAUCCUCCAAGGCUAAAUACUCCUGACUGACCGAUAGUGAACCAGUACCGUGAGGGAAAGGCGAAAAGAACCCCGGCGAGGGGAGUGAAACAGAACCUGAAACCGUGUACGUACAAGCAGUGGGAGCCUUCUUUAUGGGGGUGACUGCGUACCUUUUGUAUAAUGGGUCAGCGACUUAUAUUCUGUAGCAAGGUUAACCGUAUAGGGGAGCCGCAGGGAAACCGAGUCUUAACUGGGCGUUAAGUUGCAGGGUAUAGACCCGAAACCCGGUGAUCUAGCCAUGGGCAGGUUGAAGGUUGGGUAACACUAACUGGAGGACCGAACCGACUAAUGUUGAAAAAUUAGCGGAUGACCUGUGGCUGGGGGUGAAAGGCCAAUCAAACCGGGAGAUAGCUGGUUCUCCCCGAAAGCUAUUUAGGUAGCGCCUCGUGAACUCAUCUUCGGGGGUAGAGCACUGUUUCGGCUAGGGGGCCAUCCCGGCUUACCAACCCGAUGCAAACUGCGAAUACCGAAGAAUGUUAUCACGGGAGACACACGGCGGGUGCUAACGUCCGUCGUGAAGAGGGAAACAACCCAGACCGCCAGCUAAGGUCCCAAAGUCAUGGUUAAGUGGGAAACGAUGUGGGAAGGCACAGACAGCCAGGAUGUUGGCUUAGAAGCAGCCAUCAUUUAAAGAAAGCGUAAUAGCUCACUGGUCGAGUCGGCCUGCGCGGAAGAUGUAACGGGGCUAAACCAUGCACCGAAGCUGCGGCAGCGACACUAUGUGUUGUUGGGUAGGGGAGCGUUCUGUAAGCCGUCGAAGGUGUGCUGUGAGGCAUGCUGGAGGUAUCAGAAGUGCGAAUGCUGACAUAAGUAACGAUAAAGCGGGUGAAAAGCCCGCUCGCCGGAAGACCAAGGGUUCCUGUUCAACGUUAAUCGGAGCAGGGUGAGUCGACCCCUAAGGCGAGGCCGAAAGGCGUAGUCGAUGGGAAACAGGUUAAUAUUCCUGUACUCGGUGUUACUGCGAAGGGGGGACGGAGAAGGCUAUAUCGGCCGGGCGACGGUUGUCCCGGUUUAAGCGUGUAGGCGGAGGGUCCAGGUAAAUCCGGUCCCUUAUUAACGCUGAGGCGUGACGACGAGGCACUACGGUGCUGAAGUGAUAAAUGCCCAGCUUCCAGGAAAAGCCUCUAAGCAUCAGGUAACACAGAAUCGUACCCCAAACCGACACAGGUGGUCAGGUAGAGAAUACCAAGGCGCUUGAGAGAACUCGGGUGAAGGAACUAGGCAAAAUGGUGCCGUAACUUCGGGAGAAGGCACGCUGGCGCGUAGGUGGAGGGACUUGCUCCCCGAGCCGAAGCCAGUCGAAGAUACCAGCUGGCUGCAACUGUUUAUUAAAAACACAGCACUGUGCAAACACGAAAGUGGACGUAUACGGUGUGACGCCUGCCCGGUGCCGGAAGGUUAAUUGAUGGGGUUAUCCGUAAGGAGAAGCUCUUGAUCGAAGCCCCGGUAAACGGCGGCCGUAACUAUAACGGUCCUAAGGUAGCGAAAUUCCUUGUCGGGUAAGUUCCGACCUGCACGAAUGGCGUAAUGAUGGCCAGGCUGUCUCCACCCGAGACUCAGUGAAAUUGAACUCGCUGUGAAGAUGCAGUGUACCCGCGGCAAGACGGAAAGACCCCGUGAACCUUUACUACAGCUUGACACUGAACAUUGAGCCUUGAUGUGUAGGAUAGGUGGGAGGCUUUGAAGCGCGGACGCCAGUCUGCGUGGAGCCAACCUUGAAAUACCACCCUUUAAUGUUUGAUGUUCUAACGUAGGCCCGUAAUCCGGGCUGCGGACAGUGUCUGGUGGGUAGUUUGACUGGGGCGGUCUCCUCCUAAAGAGUAACGGAGGAGCACGAAGGUCAGCUAAUCACGGUCGGACAUCGUGAGGUUAGUGCAAUGGCAUAAGCUGGCUUGACUGCGAGAGUGACGGCUCGAGCAGGUGCGAAAGCAGGUCAUAGUGAUCCGGUGGUUCUGAAUGGAAGGGCCAUCGCUCAACGGAUAAAAGGUACUCCGGGGAUAACAGGCUGAUACCGCCCAAGAGUUCAUAUCGACGGCGGUGUUUGGCACCUCGAUGUCGGCUCAUCACAUCCUGGGGCUGAAGUAGGUCCCAAGGGUACGGCUGUUCGCCGUUUAAAGUGGUACGCGAGCUGGGUUUAGAACGUCGUGAGACAGUUCGGUCCCUAUCUGCCGUGGGCGCUGGAGAAUUGAGGGGGGUUGCUCCUAGUACGAGAGGACCGGAGUGAACGCACCACUGGUGUUCGGGUUGUCAUGCCAAUGGCAUUGCCCGGUAGCUAAGUGCGGAAAAGAUAAGUGCUGAAAGCAUCUAAGCACGAAACUUGCCCCGAGAUGAGUUCUCCCUGACUCCUUGAGAGUCCUGAAGGGACGUUGAAGACUACGACGUUGAUAGGCCGGGUGUGUAAGCGCAGCGAUGCGUUGAGCUAACCGGUACUAAUGACCCGUGAGGCUUAACCUUACAACGCCAGAGGCGUUU
This 2935-nucleotide ribosomal RNA is filed under the name [Curtobacterium] plantarum. RNAcentral's name for it is "bacterial LSU rRNA". It matches the Rfam family "Bacterial large subunit ribosomal RNA". Lineage: Bacteria; Pseudomonadati; Pseudomonadota; Gammaproteobacteria; Enterobacterales; Erwiniaceae. The record is from RNAcentral.